UCUAAUUCUGAACUUUUAAUCACAUCAGAAAAAAUGUGUCUGUUUGCUUAAAACUUUGUUAGGUUUUCCAUUACAUGCAACAGACCUCAUUUCUCCAUGAUAAAACUGUCAAAGGUUAGAACCCAAAUUCCUAGACGUGUUGAGAGCUUUCAUAAGUUCACCACUACAGAUAUCUCCAGCCUCAGGUUCCAAAAUUCUGCACCUGAUUCUUUGUUCUAAACCAUCCAUUCUGCAAAUUACAUAACAAUGGAAAACCAGCAUGUUCUUUUAAAGUUAUGAUUUUGUUUAAAUAAGCUUGGAAAACUCUGACUUCUGUACUCUUCUGGAAAUGUAGAAUAAAUAUGGGUACAUAGAAUCUGGGAAGUUUUUCAGUUAAAGAAACUUGAAUGCUUUCAGCUACAUGUUUUCUUAACGCAUUUGACCACAGAAUUCUUAUUCAAGUAACCCUUUGUAUCAAUACUCAGUAUAAACGUAAUGGGAGCAAUGUAUUGUGAAAUGCUGUGUCUAAGCCCAAGAGAUUUCUCAGUCUCCUAAACGUGCCUUUUCUCUUCACUUCAAGGAUGUGUUCAGUGUCACUGCUCCAUCUGAAGGCCCAUGUUGACUUGUCUUCACCUGACACACUGCUCCUCGUCACAUACGAACUUGUUCUGGUGAAGACACAGGAUUGAGGGCACCCUCAAGAGCCAAGCCUGAUUUUACAAAUAAUCUUGGAAUUGUUUUAGGAGUGGAUAUUUUGGUGGAUAGUACAUGAGGUACAUAAAUGCUGCCUACAAUUCAAAAUUCCUAAAACCAUACAGGACUGAGCCAGGAAAUUGAAGUUUUACCCAAAUUGUAUUAGAACAAGGAAGAAAGCCAAGUAAAUAUCUGUGCGAUGAAAUUUCUGGAAAAAGAAAGGAGGUCUGGAGAUAAAAAAAAUUAUUUUCUCAAAAAGAGAAGAAGCCGUAGAAAGGCCCUGAGAAACAGAAAAGGAGAACAGGCAAGGGCAAGAAAAAAAUGGAGUAUGAUUUUGGCUGAAGUUAUCCAUUCUGACUUUCAAGGAGAAGUGUGGUUGCUGCUACAGAAUGUCAGUGGUGCUAAUGUUGGCAUCUAGAGGUGCCUUCCCAGUGAUGCCUCUGAAUUCAGCUGAAGCAUCCAUAGUUCUAUUCCUCAAGGAAACAUUCUGGAGGGAGAUUUGGUUAUUCUUAGAUAUGUGGAAAGCACCCUUCGCAGCCAUUGGUUGCUACUAUGAAAAUGUUCUCAAUAAAUUUCUUUUGUGUUUAUUUUAGCCA
Molecule: long non-coding RNA, 1268 nt
Filed under: Vulpes vulpes (red fox)
Lineage: Eukaryota; Metazoa; Chordata; Mammalia; Carnivora; Canidae
Description: lncRNA (ENSVVUG00000000160.1)
Source: RNAcentral